AAAGAAAACAAAGCAAACAUUAAAAGAAGUUCAGACUGUUACCUCUAUUCAAAAAGCAAGAAAAGUAUAUUGGUUUGAGAAAUUUCUAUGGUUCAUUAGCUCAGAGAACUAUCUAAUUAUAGGUGGACGAGAUCAGCAACAGAAUGAAAUAAUUGUGAAAAGAUACUUGACACCAGGAGAACCCAUCCCCCCACGGACCUUGACUGAAGCUGGCACAAUGGCACUUUGCUACAGUGCUGCUUGGGAUGCACGAGUUAUCACUAGUGCUUGGUGGGUGUACCAUCAUCAGGUAUCUAAAACAGCACCAACUGGAGAAUAUUUGACAACAGGAAGCUUCAUGAUAAGAGGAAAAAAGAAUUUUCUUCCUCCCUCAUACCUAAUGAUGGGGUUUAGCUUCCUUUUUAAGGUAGAUGAGUCUUGUGUUUGGAGACAUCAGGGUGAACGAAAAGUCAGAGUACAGGAUGAAGACAUGGAGACACUGGCAAGUUGUACAAGUGAACUCAUAUCAGAAGAAAUGGAACAAUUAGAUGGAGGUGACACUAGCAGUGAUGAGGAUAAAGAAGAACAUGAAAC
RNAcentral lists this small RNA (573 nucleotides) under Pan troglodytes (chimpanzee). RNAcentral describes it as "processed transcript". Lineage: Eukaryota; Metazoa; Chordata; Mammalia; Primates; Hominidae. The record is from RNAcentral.